AGGAGUUGAUGAAUUUUACAUAGAAAAUGAAAUAAACAAAUUAAACGUAGAAGAGUUAGUUCAGCCUGAACAAAACCAUGCUUUAAAAGAAGUUAUAAAAACUGAUCGAAAAAUUAUAAUAAAUUUAGACCAUAAAAUAAGUUCUUUGGAAAAAUCUUGCCAAUUUGGAAAUAAAGUUAUAACUAUACUUAAUAUAAAAGCUGAAGGAUUAAAUAAUGUGGCCAUAAAAGAAAAAUUAAAUUUAAUAACUGAUACACUUAUGGAUAAUUUUUCCACAUGUCAUGGAGAUGACAAUGGCAACUCUCAUACCGACAAUAACAAUGAAUUAAAUAUUACUACAAAUAACAAAAGAAUUAUUGAUUUUUGUAAAAUUUCACAAUAUUUUGAUUUUAAAUGUUUACCAUACUGUACAUUAAAUUAUGAUACUAUUCCUAUGCAUUUUUUUUAUUAAUAAUGAUAAAAAUUUAUUAAUAGAGUCAUGUACUUUUAAUAAAAAAAAAGAUACAAAUAGCAAAACAAAAAGAUUUAAUAAUAUUUAUAAAAAGUUAAAAGAUUAUAAUUAUGAUGAAGAACCUGAAAUAAAAUUAGAAUCAUAUGAACAAUCCAUGAGAUUAAAAGAUAAAUUGUCAGAACUCGAACAAAAUCAAAAAAAAAAUAACGUAAAGUUUUUUCCAUUUAUAGUAGACACUGAACCAACAAACGGAUUUAACGAAACAACGUUCAGAUUAUUUUUAAUUUCAUUACUAGUUUCUAAAGGUUAUGUUGAAUUUUUUAAAGACGAUAAUAAUAUUUUAUGCAUAAAAUCGUCCGAUUAUUAUAAAGAUGUAGAAAAAACACAAGAAUAUGAACAAGAAGGUGAAAACGAACAAGAAGGUGAAAACGAACAAGAAGGGAAACACGAACAAGAAGGGAAACACGAAACUGAUAAAAAUGUAAAACAAAAAAACCAAGCCUUACUCACAUCUUGGUCCUAUAAAAAAUGGAAAAAAUUAGUUAAGCAGAUAA
This 1005-nucleotide long non-coding RNA is filed under the name Piliocolobus tephrosceles (Ugandan red Colobus). RNAcentral describes it as "lncRNA (ENSPTEG00000011559.1)". Lineage: Eukaryota; Metazoa; Chordata; Mammalia; Primates; Cercopithecidae. The record is from RNAcentral.